AAUAAUAACGGAACCUACCAAGUUCACUUCUUUGUUUAAUUUUGAGAGAUUAAUUCUCUCUAGACUUUGAUCUUUGAAAACUGAAUACUGUAUUAACAAACCAAAAUUUACCGAGUCAUAAAACAUUGAGUUUUAUGCAUUAAAAUAGAGUUUUUAUUAACGAUGAAAACGCAAACGCGAAUCAUAUUGAGACUUAACCAACGG
RNAcentral lists this unclassified non-coding RNA (204 nucleotides) under Granulicatella balaenopterae. RNAcentral's name for it is "16S-23S ribosomal RNA intergenic spacer". The record is from RNAcentral. Lineage: Bacteria; Bacillati; Bacillota; Bacilli; Lactobacillales; Carnobacteriaceae.